Molecule: long non-coding RNA, 852 nt
Organism: Oreochromis aureus
Lineage: Eukaryota; Metazoa; Chordata; Actinopteri; Cichliformes; Cichlidae
Source: Ensembl
UUUGAGUACCACUUGGGGGGCAGUCAGAUGCGUUCACAGGCGGAGAAGAUGGCAGCCAUUGGAUCCUGCCCUGACGAGCCCGUCGGCUGAUCUCACCUGAAGAUCGCGCCCCAGAUCUGGUCCAGUGGAUGGAACGCUGGCCAGGCAGCAUUUGCACAGACCCGACACCUCAAAGAGAGGGCUGCCGUUUUGUCCCAGCAGGUAAGGGGGGUCGACCACCCGAGAGUGUACAUCCGCAAGAAGCUGACCCACCGAGAAACGUGGUACAGCACCAUGGAGAAGGAGUGUCUGGCGAUCUUGUGGGCAGUUGAUUCACUACGCUAUUACCUCGUGGGAUGCUCAUUCACCCUCCGCUCAGACCACAGGGGGCUCUCCGAAAUGACCAAGAAAAUGGAAACAAGAAAAAGCACGACUCCAGCAGAUAAGAAAGAUUCAGAUCAAGAUUGUAAGACCAGGACUGCUAAAAGAAAGGCCAGUCCUGAAAAGAAGACCCCAAUAAAAAGGAGGAGGGUCGCUGAGCAGGCUGGUCCUUCCACCAGCUCGGAUGUGGUCAAAGGAGUGAAGCGCAAGGUUGUGCAAGAUGGAGAGGGCACAACGAACCAAGCAAAGAAGGCUAAACUUCUCGACCAUAUGAGUGGUGACAAGGAGCAAGCGUCUUCCUCGCUGGACACUGGUAAAGGUAGGCUAAUUAGUUGAGUGAGGGGUAGAUUAAGUGUGGUUGCUAGGUUUAAGAUAUUGGUGUUUAGUGUUUGGGAGACAUUUGAGUCUAUCAUCCAGUGAGCUGGUGUGCUUUUGGUGUUUUCCACAUCUGCAGACUUGAACAACAAACAAGUGUGUCCAAGAAAUGGUAAA